AGAGCGCUCAUUUUUUCCUGUGACUGUUACAGACGUGGGGAAAUGCAGAGAAUAGCUAUAGUUCCCUGUGGAUUUGCUCCAGUUCUCUUCAAAGGCAGAAUGUGGUAGAGCCAGCCCCUUGAGUUCCUCAGAAUGCUUUUCUAACGUGUGUGCACCAUAGAGUUUGGAGACUCUAGUGGCAAUUUAUGCCCUGGAACUCAAGGCAACCUUCACUAAGACUGAUGGUAGCACAGACACUUCAUCACUCCUGUGUUCAGGUUUACUUAUCUUACCAGUAUUAAGUAUGUUCAGAAAGCUUACUUGUCCAAUAUUUUUCUUGCUGCCUUUGCAGGAGUCAAACUUGCUGCCUGUUUUGUUGUGUAGACUUAGUAAUAUCUACCUCUGCCUGAUGCAGCUCGCUAGGAUCCAGGCUGGAAAAGACAGAAGCCGGCAACAGUAGUGUGAUAUCCUUUCUAGUGCUGUGCAGUUUGACAGGCUGUGCCUUUCUGCUUUGUUCUCUUUAAUGGUUUCUCAGUCCAUGUGACGGAGAGAUGGGAUGGAUAUCCAUCUCAAGGUACAAUAUAUGAUUAAUAGUGUUGUCUGUAUUCAGAGGUCUUCAACUUUCCAAACUGAGCUGGUUGCAAAAUGAAUGGCAAAUAUUAGAAACAUUGGUACAGCUAACUGGGCCCUGCAUUCAUUUUCAU
Cyanistes caeruleus (blue tit) is the source of this 683-nucleotide non-coding RNA. The record is from RefSeq and is a predicted model, not a curated record. NCBI's taxonomy places the organism in Eukaryota, Metazoa, Chordata, Aves, Passeriformes, Paridae.